Molecule: transfer RNA, 68 nt
Filed under: Euproctis pseudoconspersa
Lineage: Eukaryota; Metazoa; Arthropoda; Insecta; Lepidoptera; Erebidae
Description: tRNA-His
Source: RNAcentral
AUUUAAAUAAUUUAAAUAAAAAUAUUGAUUUGUGGUAUCAAAAAUAUGAUAGUAAUUCAUUUUAAAUU